This 492-nucleotide ribosomal RNA is filed under the name uncultured bacterium. RNAcentral describes it as "partial 16S ribosomal RNA". It matches the Rfam family "Bacterial small subunit ribosomal RNA", at positions 30 to 507 of the family's 1533-position model. The record is from RNAcentral.
AUUGAACGCUGGCGGCAUGCCUAACACAUGCAAGUCGAACGGCAGCACAGUAAGAGCUUGCUCUUACGGGUGGCGAGUGGCGGACGGGUGAGGAAUACAUCGGAAUCUACUUUUUCGUGGGGGAUAACGUAGGGAAACUUACGCUAAUACCGCAUACGACCUACGGGUGAAAGCAGGGGAUCUUCGGACCUUGCGCGAUUGAAUGAGCCGAUGUCGGAUUAGCUAGUUGGCGGGGUAAAGGCCCACCAAGGCGACGAUCCGUAGCUGGUCUGAGAGGAUGAUCAGCCACACUGGAACUGAGACACGGUCCAGACUCCUACGGGAGGCAGCAGUGGGGAAUAUUGGACAAUGGGCGCAAGCCUGAUCCAGCCAUACCGCGUGGGUGAAGAAGGCCUUCGGGUUGUAAAGCCCUUUUGUUGGGAAAGAAAAGCAGCAGGUUAAUACCCCGCUGUUCUGACGGUACCCAAAGAAUAAGCACCGGCUAACUUCGUG